CUCAUCCCCAUCAAGAUUUGGAUACCCACUCGCCCAAUAUUCCUUUUCUUGCUCUUGAUAUCCCUCCAUCCCCUCCCCCUUCCUUCCUCCUCAUCCCCCACCACCACCACAACAACCACCACCUAUAAAUCCAGCGAUACCCACGACGGCCAGAGCCUAGCCGGACCAGCAAGAACCCCCGCCGCAGCCGCAGCCGCAGCCAUGAAGGUCCACCCUAUGCCCCCCAAGAAGAGGAACAUCACCCUCCAGUACGUCCCCAGGAGCGCCGCCUCAAUCGAGGCCCAGGCCCUCGCCGGUGUCGUGGCCGCCGCCGCCCACCACCACCACCAACACCAACACCACCACCACCACCACCACAAGAUCCUCCGCCGGCUCCCCCACAUCUUCAGCCGCGUCCUCGAGCUGCCCUUCCGGGCGGACGCCGAGGUGGAGGUGGAGGAGCUGCCCGGGUUCUUCCGGUUCGUCGCCGAGACCGAGGGGAUCGUGGCCGG
Molecule: long non-coding RNA, 491 nt
Filed under: Eucalyptus grandis
Lineage: Eukaryota; Viridiplantae; Streptophyta; Magnoliopsida; Myrtales; Myrtaceae
Description: long non-coding RNA (EGRA_LNC005077)
Source: RNAcentral